Stylophora pistillata is the source of this 440-nucleotide long non-coding RNA. RefSeq lists it as uncharacterized. Lineage: Eukaryota; Metazoa; Cnidaria; Anthozoa; Scleractinia; Pocilloporidae. The record is from RefSeq and is a predicted model, not a curated record.
GUUAUAUUCCAUUUAUUAAAGCACCACCUCACGGGUCAACCGAUUUCAGACCAUUCUUUCGUUCAUUGAUCGCGGCGAUGUACAAACUAUCAACCCUUUUGGUUGGCGUCUUCAUCGCUGUUUCUGUAUUGCUGUUGACUUGCCCUCGAGAUACUGAAGCUGCUGCUCCAUGGCCCUAUAAAGGAAAGAGAUCACAGGUGGUUCGUGACAAGAAGAGCAUCUGUCAGACAGCCAGAGCGCUGGGCUGCGACAAAGAAGAAAAUUGGAGGCGACAAGAUCUGGAAGCAGAUGAGAUUUGAUGGCGUCACUAAAGGAAAUAAGCUGAUAGAUAGCAAGGCCAUCUCCAUAAUUUGUUAAGCAAAGAACUAGACUGAGUCCUUUUAGUCAAACAUUUAAAUAAAAGAAGAACUCAUUAGGAGCGAAAUGUUUUGUUCAUUAUA